RNAcentral lists this ribosomal RNA (253 nucleotides) under uncultured bacterium. RNAcentral's name for it is "partial 16S ribosomal RNA". It matches the Rfam family "Bacterial small subunit ribosomal RNA", at positions 524 to 776 of the family's 1533-position model. The record is from RNAcentral.
UACGGAGGGUGCAAGCGUUAUCCGGAUUCACUGGGUUUAAAGGGUGCGUAGGCGGACAGGUAAGUCAGUGGUGAAAUCUCCGGGCUCAACCCGGAAACUGCCAUUGAUACUAUUGGUCUUGAAUGUUGUUGAGGUGGGCGGAACGGGUCAUGUAGCGGUGAAAUGCAUAGAUAUGACCCGGAACACCGAUCGCGAAGGCAGCCCACUAAGCAAUGAUUGACGCUGAGGCACGAAAGCGUGGGGAGCAAACAGG